Molecule: unclassified non-coding RNA, 253 nt
Filed under: uncultured fungus
Lineage: Eukaryota; Fungi
Description: partial contains 5.8S ribosomal RNA, internal transcribed spacer 2, and large subunit ribosomal RNA
Rfam family: 5.8S ribosomal RNA (bases 1-52)
Source: RNAcentral
AACGCACAUUGCGCCCGGUGGUAUUCCACCGGGCAUGCCUGUUCGAGCGUCAUUUCAACCCUCAAAGCCUAGCUUUGGUGUUGGAGGAAGACCUGUAAAAAGGUCCCCUCCCAAAUUUAGUGGCGGGCUCGCUAGAAUUUUGAGCGUAGUAAUUCAACAACGUUUUUAAAUACUAGUGGGACUUCUAGCCGUAAAACCCCCCAACUUUCUGAAAAUUGACCUCGGAUCAGGUAGGAAUACCCGCUGAACUUAA